This 465-nucleotide ribosomal RNA is filed under the name Streptococcus sp. oral taxon C14. RNAcentral describes it as "bacterial SSU rRNA". It matches the Rfam family "Bacterial small subunit ribosomal RNA", at positions 30 to 483 of the family's 1533-position model. Lineage: Bacteria; Bacillati; Bacillota; Bacilli; Lactobacillales; Streptococcaceae. The record is from RNAcentral.
AUUGAACGCUGGCGGCAGGCUUAACACAUGCAAGUCGAACGGUAACAUAAAGAAGCUUGCUUCUUUGAUGACGAGUGGCGGACGGGUGAGUAAUGCUUGGGAAUCUAGCUUAUGGAGGGGGAUAACUACGGGAAACUGUAGCUAAUACCGCGUAAUAUCGAAAGAUUAAAGUGUGGGACCUUCGGGCCACAUGCCAUAGGAUGAGCCCAAGUGGGAUUAGGUAGUUGGUGAGGUAAGGGCUCACCAAGCCGACGAUCUCUAGCUGGUCUGAGAGGAUGACCAGCCACACUGGGACUGAGACACGGCCCAGACUCCUACGGGAGGCAGCAGUGGGGAAUAUUGCGCAAUGGGGGCAACCCUGACGCAGCCAUGCCGCGUGAAUGAAGAAGGCCUUCGGGUUGUAAAGUUCUUUCGGUAGCGAGGAAGGCAUUUAGUUUAAUAGACUAGGGGAUUGACGUAACUACA